AGUGGAAUUGCUGGGUUAUGUGGUAACUCUAUAUUUAAGCUUUUGAAGAACUGUCAAACUGUUUUCCAAAGUGACUGUACCAUUUUAUAUUCCCAUCCACAGU
RNAcentral lists this microRNA precursor (103 nucleotides) under Marmota monax (woodchuck). The record is from RNAcentral. Lineage: Eukaryota; Metazoa; Chordata; Mammalia; Rodentia; Sciuridae.